This 254-nucleotide ribosomal RNA is filed under the name uncultured bacterium. Its description in RNAcentral is "partial 16S ribosomal RNA". It matches the Rfam family "Bacterial small subunit ribosomal RNA", at positions 524 to 776 of the family's 1533-position model. The record is from RNAcentral.
UACGGAGGGGGCAAGCGUUGUUCGGAAUUACUGGGCGUAAAGGGCGCGCAGGCGGCUGCUCAAGUCAGGCGUGAAAGGCCUGGGCUCAACCCGGGAAUUGCGCUUGAGACUGGGCUGGCUUGAGUGCGGGAGAGGAUGGUGGAAUUCCCAGUGUAGAGGUGAAAUUCGUAGAUAUUGGGAAGAACACCGGUGGCGAAGGCGGCCUUCUGGACAGUGACUGACGCUGAGACGCGAAAGCGUGGGGAGCAAACAGG